AUUGAACGCUGGCGGCAUGCCUUACACAUGCAAGUCGAACGGCAGCACGGGAGCAAUCCUGGUGGCGAGUGGCGAACGGGUGAGUAAUAUAUCGGAACGUGCCCAGUCGUGGGGAUAACGUAGCGAAAGCUACGCUAAUACCGCAUACGAUCUACGGAUGAAAGCGGGGGAUCGCAAGACCUCGCGCGAUUGGAGCGGCCGAUAUCAGAUUAGGUAGUUGGUGAGGUAAAGGCUCACCAAGCCGACGAUCUGUAGCUGGUCUGAGAGGACGACCAGCCACACUGGGACUGAGACACGGCCCAGACUCCUACGGGAGGCAGCAGUGGGGAAUUUUGGACAAUGGGCGGCAAGCCUGAUCCAGCAAUGCCGCGUGCAGGAUGAAGG
This 384-nucleotide ribosomal RNA is filed under the name uncultured bacterium. Its description in RNAcentral is "bacterial SSU rRNA". It matches the Rfam family "Bacterial small subunit ribosomal RNA", at positions 29 to 414 of the family's 1533-position model. The record is from RNAcentral.